This 920-nucleotide ribosomal RNA is filed under the name Enterobacter cloacae. RNAcentral describes it as "bacterial SSU rRNA". It matches the Rfam family "Bacterial small subunit ribosomal RNA", at positions 38 to 963 of the family's 1533-position model. Lineage: Bacteria; Pseudomonadati; Pseudomonadota; Gammaproteobacteria; Enterobacterales; Enterobacteriaceae. The record is from RNAcentral.
AAAGGAGCGGCGCUACCUGCAGUCGACGGUAGCACAGAGAGCUUGCUCUCGGGUGACGAGUGGCGGACGGGUGAGUAAUGUCUGGGAAACUGCCUGAUGGAGGGGGAUAACUACUGGAAACGGUAGCUAAUACCGCAUAACGUCGCAAGACCAAAGAGGGGGACCUUCGGGCCUCUUGCCAUCAGAUGUGCCCAGAUGGGAUUAGCUAGUAGGUGGGGUAACGGCUCACCUAGGCGACGAUCCCUAGCUGGUCUGAGAGGAUGACCAGCCACACUGGAACUGAGACACGGUCCAGACUCCUACGGGAGGCAGCAGUGGGGAAUAUUGCACAAUGGGCGCAAGCCUGAUGCAGCCAUGCCGCGUGUAUGAAGAAGGCCUUCGGGUUGUAAAGUACUUUCAGCGGGGAGGAAGGUGUUGUGGUUAAUAACCACAGCAAUUGACGUUACCCGCAAAAAAAGCACCGGCUAACUCCUUGCCAGCAGCCGCGGUAAUACGGAGGGUGCAAGCGUUAAUCGGAAUUACUGGGCGUAAAGCGCACGCAGGCGGUCUGUCAAGUCGGAUGUGAAAUCCCCGGGCUUCACCUGGGAACUGGAUUCAAAACUGGCAGGUUGGGAGUCUUGUAAAGGGGGGUAUAAUUCCAGGGGUACCGUGGAAAUGCUUAGAGACCUGGAGGGAAAACCGGUGGCGAAGGCGGCCCCCUGGACAAAAAUUGACCUCUAGUGCUAAACGUGGGGGGCAAAAGGAAUAAAUACCCGGUUAGUCCCCCCGUAAACCAAGUCCAUUUGAAGUUGUGCCCUUGAGGCCGUGGCUUUCGGAAUUAAACUUUAAAACACCGCCUGGGGAGACGGCCGCAGGGUUAACAUUAUAUGUAUUGACGGGGCCCCACUACGGUCAACCUGGGGUUUUAUUAUUGCCCCUUA